Molecule: ribosomal RNA, 476 nt
Filed under: uncultured organism
Description: partial 16S ribosomal RNA
Rfam family: Bacterial small subunit ribosomal RNA
Source: RNAcentral
CACUCCUGCGGGAGGCAGCAGUGGGGAAUUUUGGACAAUGGGCGAAAGCCUGAUCCAGCAAUGCCGCGUGAGUGAAGAAGGCCUUCGGGUUGUAAAGCUCUUUUGUCAGGGAAGAAACGGUGAAAGCUAAUAUCUUUUGCUAAUGACGGUACCUGAAGAAUAAGCACCGGCUAACUACGUGCCAGCAGCCGCGGUAAUACGUAGGGUACAAGCGUUAAUCGGAAUUACUGGGCGUAAAGCGUGCGCAGGCGGUUUUGUAAGUCUGAUGUGAAAUCCCCGGGCUCAACCUGGGAAUUGCAUUGGAGACUGCAAGGCUAGAAUCUGGCAGAGGGGGGUAGAAUUCCACGUGUAGCAGUGAAAUGCGUAGAUAUGUGGAGGAACACCGAUGGCGAAGGCAGCCCCCUGGGUCAAGAUUGACGCUCAUGCACGAAAGCGUGGGGAGCAAACAGGAUUAGAAACCCUUGUAGUCCCAUGAU